UCCAUCUCUCUCUGAUGGCUCCAUUGGCUGCCUGACCUGGCCAGGCCCCUUCACCGGCCCCACUACUACACCGUCCAACAUGGCACUACCGCGUCCGUGCGUCCGAUCCAUCCGUCCUGUCUGUCCACCCUCCUCACUGGAUCAAUGCACAGCUCAGAGGGCGUAGCUAUGUACCUCUGUCUUUAUUCAUUGAUGCUGGAUGUGAGCAGCACUCAGGACAACAAAGGACAUGUGAUUAGUGAUGGACUGAAAUGCCAUUUAUUUGCAGCCUGUCAAUAGGAACUGGGUUUCCCACAGCCUUGGUGCAUGAGGCUCACCUCAGAUCACUCUCACUUUAUAAUGUAAAAUAGAACUGCGCAACAAGCACAAGAAUGAACUUGUCUAUAAAAACUAAAAUGUGUGUGUAUUUCUGUUUAUUCUCACAUUUAAUAUGCCUCAUGAAGAUGAUAUCUGCACUGCUGCAUUUAUAUUAAGGACACUGAUUUUUGAAAAAAUGAUGUUCGUUUUGAUCAUGUUUGUCUUGUUCUUUUCUAUGUAUAAAUGCGCACAAGCAAGGUGUCCAUCCGUAAAUGUGUGUUGCCUUUCCUUUUUUAUCCGUUGUGCUAUUAAACCAUACUCUCUGGCGAAUCAAUCAGUCAGAGUAUUUAACAUCGCUGGGAGCGAGGAAAUAAAAAGAGGAGUCAGUGUUGAUUAUUGCUCAAUAGCCACGAGGACAUCCACUUAACGCGGGGAAAUGAGUGACACACCGUGCCCCGCUGGAAGUGGCCCCUGCAUGCGCUGUGGUGUGUAGCUCUGAGCGAAAUGUUAGCUAAUGCAUUCCAUUUGCUCUGUUCAACCCGUAGCAGGUUUGACACGUAUGGCGACAUAGACACAGGCAUGAUUCGUUUGUUUGUACUGAGGAAUUGUAAUCCCUAAUUUCAUGCACGAAUCAGAAGAGGUCCUCUGCACUCUGAACAACGAUCGCUGUCCCUUCAGUAGCAUUCCGAUUGAAUUCUCAUGAUCAAGAGAGAUUGUUUCAGAAGCUCCCUUAUCAGCUAACAUCCCCCAGAACACUGAGGAAAUCAUCAUUAAUAUUUCUGAUCGUAAUGAACGUGCGCACACAUGUGUAUGUGUGAGUAGGAGGGGAGAUAGUUGUGGGGGUUGGUUUAUUAUACCACUGCAAGUAUUAUCACUGACAGGAAAAAGUAUUUGUAAUUCCUGUUUUUGAUUAAAAAUUAUGUAAUAUCAUGUCAAUCUAUUCUGUCAAUUUUACUACAUUUUAAUACAUAAUAAACAUAUCUGAUUCUGAG
Long non-coding RNA from Oncorhynchus gorbuscha (pink salmon), 1289 nucleotides. RefSeq lists it as uncharacterized. The record is from RefSeq and is a predicted model, not a curated record. The transcript is spliced from 2 exons. NCBI's taxonomy places the organism in Eukaryota, Metazoa, Chordata, Actinopteri, Salmoniformes, Salmonidae.